This 253-nucleotide ribosomal RNA is filed under the name uncultured bacterium. RNAcentral describes it as "partial 16S ribosomal RNA". It matches the Rfam family "Bacterial small subunit ribosomal RNA", at positions 524 to 776 of the family's 1533-position model. The record is from RNAcentral.
UACGAAGGGGGCUAGCGUUGUUCGGAAUCACUGGGCGUAAAGGGCGCGUAGGCGGCCGGUCAAGUCGGGGGUGAAAGCCUGUGGCUCAACCACAGAAUGGCCUUCGAUACUGGACGGCUCGAGACCGGAAGAGGUGAGUGGAACUGCGAGUGUAGAGGUGAAAUUCGUAGAUAUUCGCAAGAACACCAGUGGCGAAGGCGGCUCACUGGUCCGGUUCUGACGCUGAGGCGCGAAAGCGUGGGGGGCAAACAGA